GAUGAACGCUAGCGACAGGCCUAACACAUGCAAGUCGAGGGGCAGCAUGGUAUCAGCUUGCUGAUACCGAUGGCGACCGGCGCACGGGUGAGUAACGCGUAUGUAAUCUGCCUGUAACAGAGGGAUAACCCGGAGAAAUCCGGCCUAAUACCUCAUAGCACAUAUUAUUCGCAUGAGUUUUAUGUUAAAGAGACUCGGUUACAGAUGAACAUGCGUUCCAUUAGCUUUGGUGGCGGGGUAACGGCCCACCAAGGCAACGAUGGAUAGGGGUUCUGAGAGGAAGGUCCCCCACACUGGUACUGAGACACGGACCAGACUCCUACGGGAGGCAGCAGUGAGGAAUAUUGGUCAAUGGGCGAGAGCCUGAACCAGCCAAGUCGCGUGGAGGAAGACUGCCCUAUGGGUUGUAAACUCCUUUUACCUGGGAAUAACGGGCGCUACGUGUAGCGCUGUGCAUGUACCGGGANAAUAAGCAUCGGCUAAUUCCG
This 488-nucleotide ribosomal RNA is filed under the name uncultured bacterium. Its description in RNAcentral is "bacterial SSU rRNA". It matches the Rfam family "Bacterial small subunit ribosomal RNA", at positions 28 to 505 of the family's 1533-position model. The record is from RNAcentral.